GACGAACGCUGGCGGCGUGCCUAAUACAUGCAAGUCGAACGCUGAAGGAGGAGCUUGCUUCUCUGGAUGAGUUGCGAAAGGGUGAGUAACGCGUAGGUAACCUGCCUGGUAGCGGGGGAUAACUAUUGGAAACGAUAGCUAAUACCGCAUAAGAGUAGAUGUUGCAUGACAUUUGCUUAAAAGGUGCAAUUGCAUCACUACCAGAUGGACCUGCGUUGUAUUAGCUAGGUGGUGGGGGAACGGCUCACCAAGGCGACGAUACAUAGCCGACCUGGGAGGGGGGUCGGCCAAAAUGGGACUGGGACAAGGCCCAGGACUCUACGGGGGGCAACAAGAGGGGAUCUUCGGCAAUGGAGGGAAGUCUGGCCGAACAACGCCGCGUGAGUGGAGGAGGUUUUCGGAUCGUAAAGCUCUGUUGUAAGGGGAGAACGAGUGUGAGAGUGGAAAGUUCACGCUGUGACGGUACCUAACCAGAAAGGGACGGCUAACUACGUG
Molecule: ribosomal RNA, 495 nt
Filed under: uncultured bacterium
Lineage: Bacteria
Description: partial 16S ribosomal RNA
Rfam family: Bacterial small subunit ribosomal RNA
Source: RNAcentral